Molecule: ribosomal RNA, 426 nt
Filed under: uncultured bacterium
Lineage: Bacteria
Description: bacterial SSU rRNA
Rfam family: Bacterial small subunit ribosomal RNA
Source: RNAcentral
UGGGGAAUUUUGGACAAUGGGGGAAACCCUGAUCCAGCCAUUCCGCGUGAGUGAAGAAGGCCUUCGGGUUGUAAAGCUCUUUUGUCCGGAACGAAACGGUUACGGCUAAUACCUGUGACUACUGACGGUACCGGAAGAAUAAGCACCGGCUAACUACGUGCCAGCAGCCGCGGUAAUACGUAGGGUGCGAGCGUUAAUCGGAAUUACUGGGCGUAAAGCGUGCGCAGGCGGUUAUGCAAGACAGAUGUGAAAUCCCCGGGCUCAACCUGGGAACUGCAUUUGUGACUGCAUAGCUGGAGUGCGGCAGAGGGGGAUGGAAUUCCGCGUGUAGCAGUGAAAUGCGUAGAUAUGCGGAGGAACACCGAUGGCGAAGGCAAUCCCCUGGGCCUGCACUGACGCUCAUGCACGAAAGCGUGGGGAGCAAAC